Molecule: non-coding RNA, 1353 nt
Organism: Elaeis guineensis (African oil palm)
Lineage: Eukaryota; Viridiplantae; Streptophyta; Magnoliopsida; Arecales; Arecaceae
Source: RefSeq, a predicted model, not a curated record
GAGCGUCUUCUCUCCUCUCUCUCUCUCUCUCUUCCUCCGAAACGACGCACGAGUGCUGCGGGCGUCUUCUGAUCACUUGCCCGCUCUCUCUCCCUUCAAAUCCAUUUCCUCCUAUGGGAAUGGGAUCGAUCACCCGCGGCAUGCAUCCACCAUUUCCAUUAGGGGAGCGGCGCAUCUCAUCCGUAAAGGCACAGGCGGAAGGUCAUCCGUGAGGAAGGGAGUAUGAGACAAGAAAUUACAGCUUUGAAGAAGUUAAUCAUGCUAUGGCUGAGCAGCUUGUAGUGGGUGACUGCAAUGUUCUCAACGUCUGUUUUUGGGGUUUGGGGUCUGACAAGAUCCGUAAAAUUGGAUUCAGAUCGCAUCCAACUCAGUUUACUUAAACUGGCCCUUCCACCAAAGAAGAUUUGAUGGAUCCAAGAUGGCACACAGUUGAAUGAUGUCACCAAAAAAAGACGUAGUUCCACUUGACGGUAAAAGAAAAUUGUACGACCUUUCCGAAUAACAUCAUGUACACGACCACAAUAGCAGAGGAAACGGCAAGGAACCGGCUUGUUAAACAGCUAUUACAGGCACUGUGGUCACUUGUGGAUUUUGCGAAGGAUCCUACUGAAACAAGAGAGCAACGGCAUGCAUGGACUUGGACCGAGAGGCAGCAAAGGAACCAUGCAUGCUGAGAUCACAAUCCAGUGAUGCACACGAGUAAGGAUGCAAACCAGCGACCCAAAAGUGGAUGAGAUGAAGAUGAUCGUGAUGUCUUCAAAGAUGGAGGCGAUCAUGGGAACUUUAGGACGGAACGUGAUGGAUGCCAUGGAAGAAGAGAAUAGACCGAGCAAAGAGGAUGCAAACAUGUCUAUUGGGGUGAAGUCGUCGUUGCUGGGCUUGGUCAAAACUUGCCCACCUUCCAUAGCGACAUAGGAUGAGAGGAGAGUCACUACCACGCCUAUAGCGAACAUGGGCAUUCCUCGGACGAAAGUGCGCAGAGUUGAGUGGCUGCUGUCCUCUCUUCCAUUUCCAUUUCUAUGAGGUGGGUUUGUGCAGGAGAGUUGGGUAUGCAGGCUCUUGCAGCUUCCCGUCUCAGACAUGAGGCUGUUGCAACUUAAUGGAGAUGGGCAAAAGGAUGUUUCGGUGGGUAAGUGUUCGUAGGGGUUCGGGUUUUAUACUUCGGACGGAAGGCUGAUUGGCCUUUCUUUUCAUUCGCCGUCUAUUCCGCGGAUGGCAUUGUCUUUGUCGGCCUCCGGCGCAUGAAAAUAGAAAAAUGCUCUCUCGGGCACUCCGAACUUUUUAACUUCCGCGCACAGCGCGUCCCGUUCAUCGCACGAUGGACGGCACCAACAUAUAUCUACACAUGAUCAU